Molecule: ribosomal RNA, 914 nt
Filed under: uncultured Methanomethylovorans sp.
Lineage: Archaea; Methanobacteriati; Methanobacteriota; Methanomicrobia; Methanosarcinales; Methanosarcinaceae
Description: bacterial SSU rRNA
Rfam family: Archaeal small subunit ribosomal RNA
Source: RNAcentral
GGUUGAUCCUGCCGGAGGUCACUGCUAUCGGUGUUCGACUAAGCCAUGCGAGUCAAAUGUUCUUCGUGAACAUGGCGCACUGCUCAGUAACACGUGGAUAACCUGCCCUUAGGUCUGGCAUAACCCCGGGAAACUGGGGAUAAUUCCGGAUAGAUCAUGGAUGCUGGAAUGCACCGUGGUCGAAAGCUUUUGUGCCUAAGGAUGGGUCUGCGGUCUAUCAGGUUGUAGUGGGUGUAACGUACCUACUAGCCUACGACGGAUACGGGUUGUGGGAGCAAGAGCCCGGAGAUGGAUUCUGAGACAUGAAUCCAGGCCCUACGGGGCGCAGCAGGCGCGAAAACUUUACAAUGCGGGAAACCGCGAUAAGGGGACACCGAGUGCCAGCAUCCUAUGUUGGCUGUCCAUAUGUAUAAAUAACAUGUGUUAGCAAGGGCCGGGCAAGACCGGUGCCAGCCGCCGCGGUAACACCGGCGGCCCGAGUGGUGGCCACUAUUAUUGGGUCUAAAGGGUCCGUAGCCGGUUUGGUCAGUCUUCCGGGAAAUCUGACGGCUUAACCGUUAGGCUUUCGGGGGAUACUGCCAGGCUUGGGACCGGGAGAGGUAAGAGGUACUACGGGGGUAGGAGUGAAAUCUUGUAAUCCCUGUGGGACCACCAGUGGCGAAGGCGUCUUACCAGAACGGGUCCGACGGUGAGGGACGAAAGCUGGGGGCACGAACCGGAUUAGAUACCCGGGUAGUCCCAGCCGUAAACUAUGCUCGCUAGGUGUCAGGGACGGUGCGACCGUUUCUGGUGCCGUAGGGAAGCCGUGAAGCGAGCCACCUGGGAAGUACGGUCGCAAGGCUGAAACUUAAAGGAAUUGGCGGGGGAGCACUACAACGGGUGGAGCCUGCGGUUUAAUUGGAGUCAACGCCGGA